RNAcentral lists this signal recognition particle RNA (101 nucleotides) under Lactobacillus paragasseri JV-V03. RNAcentral's name for it is "Lactobacillus gasseri JV-V03 Bacterial signal recognition particle RNA". The stretch from base 9 to 89 matches the Rfam family "Bacterial small signal recognition particle RNA". From Rfam's summary of the family: The signal recognition particle (SRP) is a universally conserved ribonucleoprotein involved in the co-translational targeting of proteins to membranes. Archaeal SRP consists of a 7S RNA and homologues of the eukaryotic SRP19 and SRP54 proteins. In most bacteria, the SRP consists of a 4.5S RNA and the Ffh protein (a homologue of the eukaryotic SRP54 protein). The record is from RNAcentral. Lineage: Bacteria; Bacillati; Bacillota; Bacilli; Lactobacillales; Lactobacillaceae.
UUAUAGUUUGUGGGCAAUGUCCGACCUCCAAAUUGUGUCAGGACCGGAAGGUAGCAGCACUAAGGUUGCUUGGGCAUGUGCCUUUUUUUGAGAAAAUAAAC